RNAcentral lists this transfer RNA (72 nucleotides) under Scopelarchoides danae. RNAcentral describes it as "tRNA-Trp". It matches the Rfam family "tRNA". From Rfam's summary of the family: Transfer RNA (tRNA) molecules are approximately 80 nucleotides in length. Their secondary structure includes four short double-helical elements and three loops (D, anti-codon, and T loops). Further hydrogen bonds mediate the characteristic L-shaped molecular structure. tRNAs have two regions of fundamental functional importance: the anti-codon, which is responsible for specific mRNA codon recognition, and the 3' end, to which the tRNAs corresponding amino acid is attached (by aminoacyl-tRNA synthetases). tRNAs cope with the degeneracy of the genetic code in two manners: having more than one tRNA (with a specific anti-codon) for a particular amino acid; and 'wobble' base-pairing, i.e. permitting non-standard base-pairing at the 3rd anti-codon position. The record is from RNAcentral. Lineage: Eukaryota; Metazoa; Chordata; Actinopteri; Aulopiformes; Scopelarchidae.
AGGGACUUAGGUUAGUACAAAGACCAAAGGCCUUCAAAGCCUUAAGCGAGGGUGAAAAUCCCCCAGCCCCUA